CGGAAGGCCAGUCAGACCAUGAGGGCUUAUGCUGCAACCCCUAAGGGUAUAACCAGGAGUUGCGAAGUGGUCGUAGUUGUUCAUGUCUCAAUCUGGAUCAUCUUUGCUUUUUGCUUCUGCUUUGUGCUAUCCCUCUUCCCGUACCUCAGUUCUAUCUGGAACCAUGAUCUGUGACUGCCAUGGAAAAGUGUUGGGCAGGAGGAGGCCAGCUGGGUCUUUGAAGUUGACAAUGGAGCCAGGAAUGAAAGCUGCACUUAGGAUGAGAAUUGCUUUCCCUGGAGCCAAGUCAGCAAAUGCAGUCUGGUUGUCAGAGCUGAGAGGCUUCACCAAGUCAAGUAGGGGAGGACAUCUUCACUCUGCAACUUGCCCUACUGAAUGCAGAAAGUACUGUCUACUUAGAUAAAGCCUACACUAAAAGGGAAUUGAAUCUCUGCAAAUAAGUAUGUGGAUCUAAUUUCUACCUUCCAGAUUAAAAGUAUAAUUAAAAAUGAAAACCUUUGUAGGACUAAAUUGAUUUUGCAGACAAAUCUCACUUCUUAGCUUGAGCUGACUUAUUCCCAAUCUUAAACCCUAAUUAAUAACAUACAAGAAU
This 592-nucleotide long non-coding RNA is filed under the name Homo sapiens (human). RNAcentral describes it as "HSALNT0172966". Lineage: Eukaryota; Metazoa; Chordata; Mammalia; Primates; Hominidae. The record is from RNAcentral.